RNAcentral lists this ribosomal RNA (895 nucleotides) under uncultured bacterium. RNAcentral's name for it is "bacterial SSU rRNA". It matches the Rfam family "Bacterial small subunit ribosomal RNA", at positions 470 to 1371 of the family's 1533-position model. The record is from RNAcentral.
CGACCACGUCCGCUUGGUACACACCGCCCGCGUGCCAGCAGCCGCGGUAAUACAUAGGCUUCAAGCGUUGUCCGGAUUUAUUGGGCGUAAAGAGUUCGUAGGCGGUCAAGUAAGUCGGGUGUGAAAAUUCUGGGCUUAACCCAGAGACGCCACCCGAUACUGCUUAACUUGAGUUCGAUAGGGGAGUGGGGAAUUCCUAGUGUAGCGGUGAAAUGCGCAGAUAUUAGGAGGAACACCGGUGGCGAAGCCGCCACUCUGGAUCGAUACUGACGCUGAGGAACGAAAGCAUGGGUAGCAAACAGGAUUAGAUACCCUGGUAGUCCAUGCCGUAAACGGUGGGCACUAGGUGUGGGAUUCUAUUAACGAAUUCCGCGCCGUCGCUAACGCAUUAAGUGCCCCGCCUGGGGAGUACGGUCGCAAGAUUAAAACUCAAAGGAAUUGACGGGGCCCCGCACAAGCAGCGGAGCAUGCGGCUUAAUUCGACGCAACGCGAAGAACCUUACCAAGGCUUGACAUAUACAGGAAUAUGGCAGAGACGUCAUAGCCGCAAGGUCUGUAUACAGGUGGUGCAUGGUUGUCGUCAGCUCGUGUCGUGAGAUGUUGGGUUAAGUCCCGCAACGAGCGCAACCCUCGUUCUGUGUUGCCAGCAUUUAGUUGGGACUCACAGGAGACUGCCGGGGUUAACUCGGAGGAAGGUGGGGAUGACGUCAAAUCAUCAUGCCCCUUAUGUCUUGGGCUGCACGCAUGCUACAAUGGCUGGUACAAACGGCUGCGAUACCGCAAGGUGGAGCGAAUCCGAUAAAGCCAGUCUCAGUUCGGAUUGGGGUCUGCAACUCGACCCCAUGAAGUCGGAGUUGCUAGUAAUCGUAGAUCAGCAACGCUACGGUGAAUACGU